GUGACAUCACUGAGAAUGCAGCCUAUCCAUUCACUAGAGAGCAGCAGUGACAUCACUGAGAUGCAGCCUAUCCAUUCACUAGAGAGCAGCGGUGACAUCACUGAGAAUGCUGCUCUCUAGUGAAUGGAUAGGCUGCAUUCUCAGUGAUGUCACUGCUGCUCUCUAGUGAAUGGAUAGGCUGCAUUCU
Molecule: small nucleolar RNA, 187 nt
Organism: Bufo bufo (common toad)
Lineage: Eukaryota; Metazoa; Chordata; Amphibia; Anura; Bufonidae
Product: small nucleolar RNA SNORD17
Exons: 1
Source: RefSeq, a predicted model, not a curated record